Molecule: ribosomal RNA, 303 nt
Filed under: uncultured bacterium
Lineage: Bacteria
Description: bacterial SSU rRNA
Rfam family: Bacterial small subunit ribosomal RNA
Source: RNAcentral
AAAGAUUUAUCGGUGAUGGAUGGGAUGCGUCUGAUUAGCUUGUUGCGGGGUAACGGCCACCAAGGCAACGAUCAGUAGGGGUUCUGAGAGGAAGGUCCCCCACAUUGGAACCUGAGACACGGUCCAAACUCCUACGGGAGGCAGCAGUGAGGAAUAUUGGUCAAUGGGCGAGAGCCUGAACCAGCCAAGUAGCGUGCAGGACGACGGCCCUAUGGGUUGUAAACUGCUUUUAUAAGGGAAUAAAGUGAGUCUCGGUGAGACUUUUUGCAUGUACCUUAUGAAUAAGGACCGGCUAAUUCCGUG